CAGUCGCCGCGGUAAAACGUAUGGUGCGAGCGUUAAUCGGAAUUACUGGGCGUAAAGCGUGCGCAGGCGGUUCGUUAAGACAGAUGUGAAAUCCCCGGGCUUAACCUGGGAACUGCAUUUGUGACUGGCGAGCUAGAGUAUGGCAGAGAGGGGUAGAAUUCCACGUGUAGCAGUGAAAUGCGUAGAGAUGUGGAGGAAUACCGAUGGCGAAGGCAGCCCCCUGGGCCAAUACUGACGCUCAUGCACGAAAGCGUGGGGAGCAAACAGGAUUAGAGACCCCCGUAGUCCCUGUCUCUUAUAC
RNAcentral lists this ribosomal RNA (301 nucleotides) under uncultured bacterium. RNAcentral describes it as "partial 16S ribosomal RNA". It matches the Rfam family "Bacterial small subunit ribosomal RNA", at positions 509 to 807 of the family's 1533-position model. The record is from RNAcentral.